RNAcentral lists this ribosomal RNA (945 nucleotides) under Triticum aestivum (bread wheat). RNAcentral describes it as "partial small subunit ribosomal RNA". Lineage: Eukaryota; Viridiplantae; Streptophyta; Magnoliopsida; Poales; Poaceae. The record is from RNAcentral.
AUGGCCAGGAGGAAGCGAGCAAGUCAGCCCCUUGUUGUUGAACAAUGUUGGCCAACAAAAAAAGCAAGAGUCAAUGGAGGUAGAAAGAAGAGAAGUGUGCCUAAGCCUGAGCAGACUGAAGAAAAUCCUGCUGCAGUCAACAUUCAGACUGAAGAAACUGAUGUGGAGGUGCACAUCGAAGAAACUGAACCUGAGCGUGUCGAGGUUCAGACUGAAGAAACUAAACCUGAGCGUGUCGAGGUUCAGACUGAAGAAACCCAUGUUGAGAUCGACUGCGCCGAGGAGGACGGCAUCGUGGUGUUCCAGGGCGGCAGCAGGGUGAAGGCAGACGCCAUCGUGCACUACACUGUGGAGAUCGAUGUUAACCGAUGGAGAUGUGCUCGUCGUAGGUACAAGUACAGCUUCUCGUUCUUCGGCGACGACUCUGCUAUCACGGUGGACGACAACCGCGUCGGCCCGCUGUACAAGCACGUGUUCCCGCCGCGGCUGGCCCCUAGCAUCUCCUUCGUCGGACUGCCAUUCAAGGGAUUCCUUUUCCCAGUGUUCCAGCUCCAGAGCAGCUGGGUGGCCGGGGUUCUGUCGGGGAGGAUCGAGCUCCCGUCGUCAGAGCAGAUGACGCAGGACGUGGCGUCCUUCUACUCAGACAUGGAGGCCCGCGGACACUCAAAGAGGUUCACCCACGACCUGGGCGUAGGCACAUUCGAGUACGAGGAUUGGCUGGUUGAGCGGUGCGGGCUGGAGAGGAUCGAGGAGUGGAGGAAGGAGAUCUAUGUCGCGGCGAGAGGCAGGGUGAGGGACCAGCCGGACAGCUACCGGGACAAGUGGGAUGACGACGCCCAACUGUUGGAGCAAGCGCAACGUGAGAUCUCGCCAAGUUCUGAUCUUACCUCAUCGAGGGCUACUUGCGGUUCGGCUUAUUCGGAAAUGGAAUGGUUGAUGAUAUGA